UGGGGCCGAUCGAGCGUAGUCUAUCUUCCUCAAUCUGGGCUUCAUGAUAGAGAUUGAGGAGGUUGUUGUGGAGGCACCGCCUGCAUCAAACUAUAGUGCAUGAUGGCAUUGACUGCCAUUGUUAGUGCCGGCACUGGAGCAACCAAUGUGGCAAACUAUUCUUGACUCACUCUAGAGGCUAACUAUGAUAGUUGUGGUGGUGGCACCCUAUUUGGAUCCUCGAUCGUGUGGGGAGCCAUGG
Molecule: long non-coding RNA, 241 nt
Filed under: Elaeis guineensis (African oil palm)
Lineage: Eukaryota; Viridiplantae; Streptophyta; Magnoliopsida; Arecales; Arecaceae
Description: long non-coding RNA (EGUI_LNC055700)
Source: RNAcentral